UAUAGCUGUCUCUUGUGAGGCAAACACAA
This 29-nucleotide unclassified non-coding RNA is filed under the name Mus musculus (house mouse). RNAcentral's name for it is "oocyte_clustered_small_RNA8982". The record is from RNAcentral. Lineage: Eukaryota; Metazoa; Chordata; Mammalia; Rodentia; Muridae.